Long non-coding RNA from Neodiprion virginianus, 1630 nucleotides. RefSeq lists it as uncharacterized. Lineage: Eukaryota; Metazoa; Arthropoda; Insecta; Hymenoptera; Diprionidae. The transcript is spliced from 3 exons. The record is from RefSeq and is a predicted model, not a curated record.
GGGUUGGAGCACUCGAAGUUUGACCAAUGAUUAUGCGUCCACUGGCAAUUUCCUCUUUGUCAGCGGAGUUUUCAAUCUGUUUCUGAGCUUCAAAGAAGAACAUCACAUCUCUAAGCUGCUCUCCACCUACCAAACUCAUCCUCGUCUUAUACACCUUGAAAUACUGUCGCAGAAUUAGGAGUUGGCUUAUACUGGAACAAUUUUGUAAUUCGAUCAGAAUAGUAUUUUUUUAUGUAUACAUUCAGGCAUGUGUAGAAAUUUUUUUGAUGAUGAUUCAUUCUAACGAAACAUUGUUAUUCAUGACCAGAGUUAAAGGUGUGCUUUGUGUACAAUUUGUGGUUUACAAAAUAUUUCGAAAACGACACAUCUGACUUGCUAAAUAUUUCCAUGAAAUGUUUUUGGUUAGUUAUCCUCGUUCACAUGACGGGAUUUUUUUUUUUAUUGAACUAGUUUUCUCUUAAUUGAUUGAGAAGGGUCGAAAAUUUUGGACAAAAACGUACAUCAACUUCAAAAAAAUGUCUAAAAAAAGGCUCUGACACCACGAGAAAAAACUGUCUAAAAACAUUUUGUGAAUAUGUGAAGCUCAUGGCUCUAGCCAUUUUACAGAUAUUCUGGGAACCACAAACCAUGUCUGCGAGGAACACGUUUGACACCAGCCAGAACAACAACGCUUCGACAGAUUUAAUCCCCAUGAAAAAAAUGUGACUGUCAGCUAAGGGUUCCGGAGUCUGUGCGUAGCGACAGACUGGACACGAGGUAUCACCCCAUUUGACCAAGCAGCUGGAGUGAAAAGCGUGGUUGCAUAAUAUGGUCAAAAUUCCAUCCACGCUUUCAUCCAUUCUUUCCAGGCAGACCGGACAAGAUGGUAGCUCUGUAUGACCUGCGAGUGGCAAACCGCCAUCUCCUACUUCAACCCGGGAGACGAACACCAUGUGACAGACAAUUUCAGGUUCUAAAGAAUUAUAUGGAGCUCCGUUAAAUGUCUCGUAAAACUCACUUGCUGCCACCUGAAAUAAUUAAUGAUAUUUGGGCAUGAUAUAAUGUCUUGAUAAAACCUUUGAAUCAAAGAAAAACUUAUAACACAUAGAUCUUGAAAAAUGCAAAAUUUGUUCAAGGUUAAAACAUUGAAGAAAUUAUUCGUUUUAAUGAGAAUCAUUUUUUUUUAAAUUCUACGCAAUCAAUUUCAAACAUCUUUAUAAGACUCAUGUUUCUCUUUUAAUUGCUAUAAGUGAAGAAAUUGUACUAUUUCUGCAAGUUGUUUGACCUAUUGAGAAUUACUUUAUAAGUAAGUAGAUGUUCUAGCGUUUAUCUAGACCCUGAGUUACGCUUUAACUAAGUUACGCCCUACUAUUUACGCUUUAAUAUUGAUAUAGCACCUUUUAAAAUGUUAAUAUGUCAGAGUAUUUUGUACUAAUAUUUUUUCACUUGAAACUAGUAGUCUAAUAAAGACGAAAAAUUUGUUAUAAUGUAGACAAAAUAAAGUUCUAUCAAAUGCAAAAUACUAACAGCUGAUCGGAACGUCAGCAAAGCCAUGUAUUGAUUGGGACUACCAUCUCUGAUAAUCCUAAAGUGUUGAAUGUCCUGGUGACAGGCAGCAGUAAAUGUAAGCAGAUCAUGGCACGUCAUUGUU